Molecule: ribosomal RNA, 506 nt
Filed under: uncultured bacterium
Lineage: Bacteria
Description: partial 16S ribosomal RNA
Rfam family: Bacterial small subunit ribosomal RNA
Source: RNAcentral
AGUGAACGCUGGCGGUAGGCCUAACACAUGCAAGUCGAACGGCAGCACAGGAGAGCUUGCUCUCUGGGUGGCGAGUGGCGGACGGGUGAGGAAUACAUCGGAAUCUACUCUGUCGUGGGGGAUAACGUAGGGAAACUUACGCUAAUACCGCAUACGACCUACGGGUGAAAGCAGGGGACCUUCGGGCCUUGCGCGAUUGAAUGAGCCGAUGUCGGAUUAGCUAGUUGGCGGGGUAAAGGCCCACCAAGGCGCCGAUCCGUAGCUGGUCUGAUAGGGUGGACAUCGACACUGGAACUGAGGCACGGUCCAGACUCCUACGGGAGGCAGAAUUGGGGAAUAUUGGACCAUGGGCGCAAGCCUGAUCCAGCCAUACCGCGUGGGUGAAGAAGGCCUUCGGGUUGUACAGCCCUUUUGUUGGGAAAGAAAUCCAGCUGGCUAAUACCCGGUUGGGAUGACGGUACCCAAAGAAUAAGCACCGGCUAACUUCGUGCCAGCAGCCGCCGUAA